Molecule: ribosomal RNA, 400 nt
Filed under: uncultured bacterium
Lineage: Bacteria
Description: bacterial SSU rRNA
Rfam family: Bacterial small subunit ribosomal RNA
Source: RNAcentral
AAUCAACGCUGGCGGCGUGCCUCAGACAUGCAAGUCGAACGAUUAAAGCUCUCUUCGGAGAGUGCAUAAAGUGGCGCACGGGUGAGUAACACGUAAGUAAUCUACCUUCGAGUGGGGAAUAACGUCCGGAAACGGACGCUAAUACCGCAUAACGCAGCGGCAUCGCAAGAUGACAGUUGUUAAAGAUUUAUCGCUUGAAGAGGAGCUUGCGGCAGAUUAGCUUGUUGGUAAGGUAACGGCUUACCAAGGCUACGAUCUGUAUCCGGUCUAAGAGGACGGUCGGACACACUGACACUGAAUAACGGGUCAGACUCCUACGGGAGGCAGCAGUCGGGAAUUUUGGGCAAUGGGGGAAACCCCGACCCAGCAACGCCGCGUGAAGGAUGAAGUAUUUCGGUAU